Molecule: long non-coding RNA, 7900 nt
Filed under: Citrus maxima (pomelo)
Lineage: Eukaryota; Viridiplantae; Streptophyta; Magnoliopsida; Sapindales; Rutaceae
Description: long non-coding RNA (CMAX_LNC003112)
Source: RNAcentral
ACCAGUACACGGCUAGGAGCAAUCAGUCGGCAUUUUACAAGUACAUGGCUGAGAGCAAUCAGUCGGCCAAGUACGUGGCUGAGAGCAAUGGCUCAGGAAUGUCGACAUCCUCGGCAGCGCGCAAUCUAAAAGUUAUAUUUGACACCUGGAAAACUAAAGGAGUUGAGUGAGAUCGAUUGGUAUUUGUAGUUUCUUUUUUUUUUUCCUCAAGUGAUCUGGCGGCAUAAUUAAAAGUUAUAUUUGUUUGUCUUCAAAGUUAUUGUAUUGUCUCAAGUCCGGUAAGAUGCGCGAACUUAUAGCAUGGAUCCAUAUGAUCUGGACUAAACUAGUUUCUAAUAAAUAAGUAUAUUUUACAGUACUGAUUUUCCUACAGAAAUUGGUUAAGGUGACAUUAAUGUUCUUUAUGAUAGACGGAUAUACAGAUUUUUCGUCGAAAUUGAAAUUAGAAAUGGAUGGAUAUGCAGAAUUUUUUAAUAGAAUUUUUAUACAAAAAUUUGUAGCUCAUUACCCUCUAAAAGGAAAAAAAUAAAUUUUUGAUUUUAAAUAUUAAAUAUUAAAUUUAUAAUAUAAUAACUUUGUGAGUUAAGGUGCACAAUACCCAUAUAUUAAUAAUUAAGAAAAGAAAAAAAUUAAAAUUUGUAAAUUACCAAUUUUUUCUUGAAAUUUGAUAUUCUAUAUUAACGUAGGUGUUGCAUGGACUGGGUUAGUACAAUUGAAAGAAACUAACUAAAGUAAAACAAAAUAUCAUUAAAAUAUGGCAAGCUUCUCAUAUUUUUUAAGUGAAAAAGAGAAGAAAACUAAAAUUAAUUAUUUUUAUACCCAAAUUCUAGUGCUUGAAGGCCGCUGGAAUUGACCAUUGUAGUUUUGUCAUCCUCAUUAUUCACCGGCCAUCGUGGCCUUCCUCCAUUAAAAAAAUAAAUGACCAUUUUUUUGGACCACAACAUAUUAAAAAUAGUAUUGAUUAAUACUAAUAAAUCUCUUUUUUGAUUAUUUUGCAGUGUGAUAGUCGAGUGAGGGCAGUGCCCAUCGUAGCACUUGAACAUGUGGUAAAUUUAUGCCAGUCUUUGUAAAAUAAUUUUUAAAUUAUGUAUUAACCAGAUAGCUCAAUGAAAACUAUCGCUCACUAAAUUAUUACUUUAUUUUGUAUAUAUUUAUGAUAAUUGUUGAAAAGAAAAAUGUAAAGUGAGAUUAACGAACGUUUAUGAAUGUGGAAAUUAACACAACCAAGAUUUAUGAUGAAAUAAUUUUAAGUCAAAUGAGCAUAAAUUUGUAUAAAUAUUUUUUGAAUUGUCAUAUAUAUACAAGUUUGUCACUAAUAGUAAACUUAAUUAUGAGUAUUUUAAUAAUUCAAAAUUUUAUUUAACCAUCGGUGUAUAUAGUGUUUUUCAUAAUACAAAAUUAUAAAAAGUCUCAUCCUGAAUAGUAUAAUGCCAAACCUUUUCAAAAAUUUAUUCUAUUAUAGUCGUCUUAGUCAGUUAUAUUUAUUUCUAAAUUGAAGAUAAAAACAGUACUUCAUAUAUCAUCCAUUACUUCAUACAUUACUUAAAGUUUUUUUUUUUUUCAAUCAAAUUAUGAGCAAGUGAAAGGAUGCAAUAAAUUACGACUAAAAUUGUAAAAUUUACCAAUGGCUAUAUACAAAGUCUGAUUCUCAUGAGCUUAAAAGAUGGGCUUUGAAUGAUGUAUGGUUCUCAAAACUCUACUUUUAUUAAUAUGAUUGCCCUGCUUCCUUCAUGACGGGUAAUUUUUAGUUUCGUCCCCUGAAGUUUGGUUUAUCUCCAUUUUAAUAGGAAAUAUUAGCGUAUCUCCCACUUUUCUCCCCUGCCGUUUGUAUACCGUUUCAUAUUGUUAAUGGACGAAGCUACAAGUCUUCUCUUUCAUCAAAUCGAUCCAUAACAAAUACGAGUCUGCUUCACCUAACCAAAACACACACAUACUCCAUCUCUAAAUGCUUUGAAGAUAAACAAAUCAACCGUAAUCCUGCAACUUUAGCUCAGAGAAUCGGAUAAGAAAAGAACAGGUGAUGAAUCAAGGGUAAUGGCGCCGAGUGAGUGUCGCCUGCGGUCGGCGUUAGAGGCGACUGUCACUCAAUCGCGUACAAGGUUAGUCUUUGAAAAAACUCUUUGCAUGUUAGAAAUCAGUGAUUAGGCAUUAUUUUGUUAUUUAAAAAUGAAAAUGGGUUUAUUAGUUUGUCGAAGAAUCUGCUCUGUUGCCGGUGUUGUUUGUUGAUUAAAAUGAAAAUGGGUUUGUUGAUGUGUUGAAGAAGUUGCUCUCCUGCUGGUGUUUUUUUAUUAAUUAAAAUGAAAAUGGGUUUGUUAAUUUAUUGAAGCAGCUGCUGGCAUUGUUAUUGUGACUUUAUUUAUCCAAUUGAUGAGCUUAUGAGCUAAUAGUAUUGUUUGAUCAAGCUUGUGUUCUUAAUAGUGGAGUUGAUAUUCUUAAAAUGAAUUUAUGAUUAUGAGAAUAUGAAAAUUGAAUGGCAUCGUAGAGAUCUGGAUUAAUCACCAUCGUAUAUGUUUCUAAAUAAAGGAAUAAGCAGCAACCGAUUUGAAAGUUAAGACUUUAGGGAUAUGUAUGUGCAACUGAAUGAAUCAUCAGUUGCUAUCUUGUAAGUCAGUGCUAGCAUAUUACCUAAUGGCAAGUGAAGCUAUUUUAUGUGUAUUGCUGCCUAUCAAAAUGUUUAUGUUUGAAGUUUUCUCCUUUUGGGAAAUUGAAUGCUUCUGUGAGUUCUCUGGUAAGGGCUAUACAACUAUCUCUAAUAGAUUCCUUCAUGUGCAUUAAUUAGCUUAGUAGUUUAUUGACCUAUAUCCAAUGUCUAUUCUCCUUUUCUGUAGCCGUCUAGUUUUAUGAGUGUGUGAAGUGAACUUUUGUUUUAUGUUUCAGGACUUGGGAUUAGAGUGUAUAACAUUCAAUAUCUUUAUAUCAAAGAACUGAUAUAUGUCAAUGUAGUGCGAUCUGGUCUUUAUUAGCUUCUUGAUUUGCCAGGAUGUUUGACAACCAUCUUUGACCAUGAUUGCCAACAUAUAAGCUGCUACAUAGUGUCUCAGGAAUCACAGCAAAUUAUUAUCAUAAUAUGGUGAUUUUGAAUCCAAAACUUGGUAGUGUCAAGAAAAUAGACCCAUGUUUAUUUAUCUUCAUGUUUUGUAUGCGCCUGCAAUAGACUAUUAUAAGUUACUUUUAGUUUUAUCAAGUUUUUUUUUCCUUAAAUUUCAUCGAGUCUUGGAGUCUUUGUAAUAUAGAGUCUAAGUGAAGAAUACUUGGGUGAAAUCUUGUAUUCUCUCUUCCAGUAAUAUAAUCAUCCUUUGUGUUUUUAUCUUUUUAUUUUGGUAUCAGAGCAUACUUUAUUAUAGAAGGACUUAGACUCUAUAUUACAAAGACUCAGCGGUUUCUUUUAACUGAGUUAAUAGUGUUGUUAGGUUAAACUAAGUUUGGCUUCAUAAGAUUCAUAGUAGAGUGUAGAACUGGGUACAAUUUUGGGUUAGACAAGUCAAAAGUCUUCUCAAGUAAUUGUUCUGCUUACUGAUUUGGUAAUUGCAACAUUGCUAAAUAGUUCAAUUUGUCCUUUUAUUUUGUUGAAUUUAUUGUAUGUCAUAUUACUUCAUUUAAUUAUUUUCUCAGAUCUUGUAGGUGAAAAUUUCAGCUUCAAAGGCCAAGCUAAUCAUCCAGCAAUUCAGUGAAACCAAGACACAGUGGCUCAUAAAUUGUUGUUGGUGAUCCAGCCAUUCGGGUGCUUGCCAGUCCUAGACGAGAAAACUUUCAACGCGGCGCAUAAAUUGUUGUUGAUCUACUUUAUAUAUUUUGACCUUUGUGAUUUGUGAAUACAUGGUUUGAUUCCAGUGUUUACAACUUUGAUACUGUGUAUAACUUAAAAAGCAAAUGAAACAAAUAGGAAAUGUGUUUUUAUUUUUUUUAUUCUAUCUAUCUAUUUAUAUUUUGUUUGGAAAUGUAACAAUUUAUAGCUGGCAAAGUACUAGAGUUGUAUACUUGUAUUUAAUUCAUUAUUAUUAUUUUUUUAAUGAUGACUCAGUAAUGUCGUUGUCCAUGGUGUUUUGUCAUUUUGAGAGUACUUAACCCUUGGACGCUAAGGCACAUUACAGUAGCCGAAAUUUUGAGCUUUCAGUUCUUGAUUUUAGCGUGAGGGGUAUCUUUGUCGUUUCAGUUGUCAACAAACAAUUUGUUGGGGGGGGGGGGGGGGGGGUGGAGAUACGCUGAUACUUUCUAUCAUACUGGAGAUACACCUAACCUCAGGGAAGGAAACUGAAAUUUCACCUUUACGACGGGUGGACUUGGGUCAAACUUUCAUAUUCUAAUCAAGUAGGUCGAUCACGAUUCAAGCUUCAGUCAUAAGCCUUUCGUUAUGAUUGAUAUUAUUCUUUCUUGAUAGUAUCAUGGAAAAUGCAAACGAAAAGUCAGCAUCUUUGAGUUUUGUCUCAUCAUAUCCGACUUGUUGGUCUACUAAUCAAUCCACAGACCCUUGUGAUCUUGGUAAUUUGAACUUAAGGAGGCAAAGCAGCAAUCCUAAAGAGCCAUUGCUUGAUGCUGAGAUCGUUGUUGACGGCAAAUCAGUGGCAGUUAAUCGCAGCAUAUUGUCUGCACGCAGUCGUUUUUUUCAUUGGCUUUUUCAUUUGAGCAGUGAUGGUUCUGUGAGUGAGGGGAAACCCAAGUAUCUUAUGACUGAUUUGGUGCCUUAUAGGAAGGUUGGAUAUGAAGCUUUUAAUGAUAUCUUGCAUUAUCUUUACACUGGAAUGCGUAAGGCACCUCCUUCAGAAGUGUUCACGUGUGUUGAUGAUACUUGUGUUCAUCUUGUUUGCCCUCCUGCUAUUAAUUAUGUUAUUGAGUCGAUAUAUGCUUCUGCUGCUUUUAAGAUGACAGAGGUCGUUUCGGUUUAUGAGGUAGUUGCGCUUCCCCGCUACUUGUAUUGCUUAAAUUUAUGCUUAUUGGUAUAGUUUUAACAUAUGUGGGAUUGAAAUCAAUUUCAGUUGUGACUUGCAAAGAGCCAAAGAAUCUGUUGUUUUAUUUUGAAAGAGACAAAGAUGAUGAUGAUGGGCAGUGAACUCUAGGAAUCAAUGCUUGCUGACACUGACACCCAAGAAUGAUAAAAACUAACCAAAAAGGUAUAUAGAUUACAUGAGUCUGAAUUUGAUAAGUGCACCUAUCCUAUCACAAAAAGCUUUUGCGUUGAGUUUCGAACCAAGGAAAAUUGUCACUUCUGUCUGUAGGCUUCAUAGAUUUGUUCAAGCCUUCAAGGAUGUCUAGCUGUUACUUAGGGUCCAACAAUGGUGCUACAUUUCUAGUGGAUGAUAUGUUAUCUACAUCUGUAUAUUGGAACUUUGACAAACUUCGCCUUUCCUUUGUUGAUACACUCGUCUCACUUUUAUUAAAUUGCCUGAUUAUGAAAUGGUCUAUUGGAGACUAGCAAUGGAAGGUUUCUUCUGGAGAAAAUUUUACUUGCCACCAAUUUUCAUUUUGGUCGGUGUCAGUUCAUGCGCUGGCUUGAUUGUUCUGUUAUUUAGGUUGUUUUAUCCGUAUUUUCUCACUAUCUUGAUAGUUAGUUCUCUAAUGCUUUCAAGCUCAACAGCGAAUGCGAGAGAUUCUCUUUGUCCUGUCCAGGUUAUAACCUAGCAAAUCAUUAAUGCUGUAGAAUAACAUCUUGCGUAGAUGAGCUCGUGUCUCUGAACAUUGGUCCAUCGGCAUUUAGGUUCGAUAAGCAUGGCAUUGAUUUUCCCCCUCAUUGUUAUUUUCCUGCACAGAUUAUCCCCUUUAAGUAUUUGAAUUUUGAAUACAUUAUUCUGAAUCAAAACUCUAUACGUCCGUGUAGCAUUUUAUAUAUGCUUUAUGAUAUUUACCAAUAAUUACCCACUGCGAGGUAUUUGAAUUUUGAAUAUAUUAUAUAUUAUUAACUUUUGCACCCUUCUAUACAUGUAUUAGUUAAUUAUAAAGAUAUUUAUAUACUUUAUUAACUUUUGCACCCUUCUAUUUACUGAUUAUCUUUAUAAUUAACUAAUACAUGUAUCCAGGUUUCUCCUUCCAAUUGGAAUUCCUUUAUAGUGCUCUGUUAGGUGUAAUCAGAUGUAUCAAAAGAGAAAGGGUAAUUGUUAGUACAUUGAUAUCUCAACAAAAUGGUAGAACCUUUCUUUAUACCACUAAGACAUUUGUCGCAGAUAUGCCUACAUAAUCAGUGUCCUUCAAAACUUUCAAGGAGUUAGCAAUGCCUAACCCCUGAAACACUAAAUCUCACGGGAUCAACUCUUUACAUCUAGACCGAAGGUGUGACACCCAGACCCAAUUAGGGCUUAGAACACAUAUUGAAUCUGAGUGAAACUAAAUGCCUGUAAAUCCAAAUCUCCAAAAUAUCAAAAAGUCAUCUACUUUCUCUUUUCAUGUAUUUCACAAAAUUUUGAAAAAUUCAUUCUCAAUCAUAAACUAUGCACAGCUAAUUAUUCAGCAUAUCAGUAUAGAGCAAUACUUCCUCAUAAGCAAAUAAAUCUUACAAUCCUUCUUACAUGAUUUUAAAAAAAAUACUAAUAGAAGUCUUCUAGAUACAAACAUAAACAGAAUUCAACUGUUUAAAACUAUGCCAAAACACAAGCUUCAAUCAGUAAUACAUACGACUAAUUAUUAAAAACAUCUAGGCAGAAACCUUACGAAAGCUCAAUCUUUCUGAAGCAUUCUUCAAAUUAAAAAUUGCUACCAUCUGUGAAAAAUAAUUGACAAGGAGUCAGCUGUGAACUCAAUCAGUAGAAACAUUCGUAAUGAACAAAAAGAAUUCUUUGUGCAAUAUUUUCAGAAAAUUCAUUUAACCUUUCAAAUGAAACAGAGUAAUUUUUCUAACGCAGUCAGGAUUUAUAUAAAACACAAACGUUUCAGACAAAAGCUGUGCGGAAUUUAAAUUUUGCUUCUUUAAACAGAAAGUUAUAUAUUAGUUUGAUUUUAAAGGGAGGUUAUUGGGAAGUUAAAAUUGGCAGUUGUGGGAAAAGGGUAAUAGCAGUUAUAAAAUCUGUUUUAAAGCAAAUUCAAAUCAAGUUUCAAAUUUUAGGAGUACUUAAUUCAAUAAAAUAAGGAAUAAAUAAAGCUUUCAUUGAAACAAAACUAAGUAAAUUCAUUUAAAGCAAAAAAGGAUGGGAGCAUUACUAUGGGUUCUUAUGUUUACCCGCAGUCAGACAUCUGGGGACCUUGUUAUUUGGAGACAAGACUUGAUUGUGCCAUGUUUUCCGCAGCUAGACAUCUGUGGAUAAGAGAACCCUAAGCCUAUUUAGAAUAAAUUCUGUAAUCCAAGACUCUUCAGUUCUUUCAUUUGUGGCUAAUUAGUUAUAAAAUUUGUGAAUUUCAUGCCCCAUGCCCCUUGCAAAAUGCCAGUUGUUGAACUGAAAUAAUAAAAAAUGGAAAACAGACUUAAUGCCGAUAGCAUUUCUUAAGAAAAACUUGGGAUGUUUAUAAUUUUCUUAGAGCAUUUGCUGAACUUUCUGUGAUCGCAGUCGAGACGCGUGACCUCUACUUCCCUCAUUGCUCAGAAGUGGUUGAUCGCUUUUUGGAUUUGAACAAUCCUGCCACCCCAGAAAUGGACGACGAGAAACUUAAAGCAGACAUGCAGGAGGCAUUCUGCAAGGACGUGGCUUAUCACCGUCGUUUAGGGCUGCCAUCAUCCCGGCCGGCAUUUUACCAGUACACGGCUAGGAGCAAUCAGUCGGCAUUUUACAAGUACAUGGCUGAGAGCAAUCAGUCGGCCAAGUACGUGGCUGAGAGCAAUGGUUCAGGAAUGUCGACAUCCUCGGCAGCGCGCAAUCUAAAAGUUAUAUUUGACACCUGGAAAACUAAAGGAGUUGAGUGAGAUCGAUUGGUAUUUGUAGUUUCUUUUUUUUUUUCCUCAAGUGAUCUGGCAUAAUUAAAAGUUAUAUUUGUUUGUCUU